This 510-nucleotide ribosomal RNA is filed under the name uncultured Glomus. Its description in RNAcentral is "SSU rRNA". It matches the Rfam family "Eukaryotic small subunit ribosomal RNA", at positions 569 to 1083 of the family's 1831-position model. The record is from RNAcentral. Lineage: Eukaryota; Fungi; Glomeromycota; Glomeromycetes; Glomerales; Glomeraceae.
AGCAGCCGCGGUAAUUCCAGCUCCAAUAGCGUAUAUUAAAGUUGUUGCAGUUAAAAAGCUCGUAGUUGAAUUUCGGGAUCAAGGAAUCGGUCAUGCCUCGGUAUGUACUGGUUUUAUUGGUUCUCACCUUCUAAAGAACCAUGAUGUCAUUCAUUUGAUGUUAUGGGGAAUUAGGACUGUUACCUUAAAAAAUUAGAGUGUUUAAAGCAGGCUUACGCUUGAAUACAUUAGCAUGGAAUAAUGAAAUAGGACAUCAGAUUCUAUUUUGUUGGUUUCUAGGAUCGAUGUAAUGAUUAAUAGGGAUAGUUGGGGGCAUUAGUAUUCAAUUGUCAGAGGUGAAAUUCUUGGAUUUAUUGAAGACUAACUACUGCGAAAGCAUUUGCCAAGGAUGUUUUCAUUAAUCAAGAACGAAAGUUAGGGGAUCGAAGACGAUCAGAUACCGUCGUAGUCCUAACCAUAAACUAUGCCGACUAGGGAUCGGAUGAUGUUUAUUUUUAGUGACUCAUUCGG